CGACCUGGAGUCAUUAAAGAACCAUGUACUAAUGUAUGACAGCAAGCGCUUUGCUUUCACACCCCCGGUUUAUGAGGCAAGAGUUCUGCUGGCAGCUAUUGACUACAAUUUCCACCGCAACAGACCAACAAGUACUACAUCUGAGGGCAAACAAAUAUUCCGAAGAGUUUACAACAAACAUGCAAGACGGUACAGCUUGCAGGCUCUGAAGUCUGAGAAAACGUAUGAAUACAUCUCAGAACUGCAGAGAAAAUUUUUAAACAAGAGACUCACAAGUGGAGUUGGGAUGCCUCGAAGAAGAAGCCUUUGGCCCAACGACCCAUGACUUCUUGGUGUUGUCCCCCCUAUACCUGCACCCCCUAUAUCAGAGCUGAUGCAGACACAAGUUAGCAGAGGCCUUGAAUCCGCUUUCCAAGAGACUGCAAAUUAACAAUGAUCCCUAUUGCUGGUCAAUGUUGCUUCAAAGGCACCAUUAAAAAAGGUGUAAAUUGGUGUAAAUUUUAUAAUUUCUGUAAAUA
Molecule: long non-coding RNA, 518 nt
Organism: Misgurnus anguillicaudatus (oriental weatherfish)
Lineage: Eukaryota; Metazoa; Chordata; Actinopteri; Cypriniformes; Cobitidae
Source: RefSeq, a predicted model, not a curated record